This 442-nucleotide ribosomal RNA is filed under the name uncultured bacterium. RNAcentral's name for it is "partial 16S ribosomal RNA". It matches the Rfam family "Bacterial small subunit ribosomal RNA", at positions 338 to 795 of the family's 1533-position model. The record is from RNAcentral.
CCUACGGGUGGCAGCAGUGGGGGAUAUUGCACAAUGGGGGAAACCCUGAUGCAGCGACGCCGCGUGGGCGAAGAAGUAUUUCGGUAUGUAAAGCCCUAUCAGCAGGGAAGAAGAAAUGACGGUACCUGAGUAAGAAGCACCGGCUAAAUACGUGCCAGCAGCCGCGGUAAUACGUAUGGUGCAAGCGUUAUCCGGAUUUACUGGGUGUAAAGGGAGCGUAGACGGCGAUGCAAGCCAGAUGUGAAAGCCCGGGGCUCAACCCCGGGACUGCAUUUGGAACUGUAUAGCUGGAGUGUCGGAGAGGCAGGCGGAAUUCCUAGUGUAGCGGUGAAAUGCGUAGAUAUUAGGAGGAACACCAGUGGCGAAGGCGGCCUGCUGGACGAUGACUGACGUUGAGGCUCGAAAGCGUGGGGAGCAAACAGGAUUAGAUACCCUGGUAGUC